Oryza sativa Japonica Group (Japanese rice) is the source of this 2434-nucleotide long non-coding RNA. RefSeq lists it as uncharacterized. Lineage: Eukaryota; Viridiplantae; Streptophyta; Magnoliopsida; Poales; Poaceae. The record is from RefSeq and is a predicted model, not a curated record.
AGUGAACUUAUUCCUUAUAUUUAAUAGUAUCAUAUAUAUACAGCCCACACAAGCAAAAGCCCAACAAAGCAUAACCCACCUAGCCCACCUUCAUCCUCUUCUCUCUUUUUCUAGUUCUCUUCCUCUCCCUCACGCUUCUCCCCAGCGCCGCCGCUCACACUGCCGCUCCUCCUCACGCCGGCCGCUGCUCCCUGCCUCCGGCAGCCGCCCCGCAGCCGCUGCCGGCCUGAAUCGGUUCCGUGGCUCCUCAUGAGUCUACCCCCCAAGCUAACCGUAGCCAUCAACCCCUCACCAGUCUCCAAUCGAUUCUGCUGCUGGCUACUGCUCUCAAUGACUGAGAUUGAAAUUUCCCAACCCCAGCGCCCCUGAUUCAAGCGUGGCUCAGACCAGCCGUCUCUCCCUCCCCGAGCUCCUCCUCUCUGAUCCCCUUCUAUCCCUACUUCUGUGACGUGAUCUGAUUGGUUGUUCUCUUAGGUGGUAAUCUACGAUGAAUUUUUAUACUUGUGAACAGGUUCUAAUAACCAACUGGAUGGUGCUAUUCCUGCUAUCUGUAGGUUCUAUAUUAUUUGAUUUGCUAUAAUUGGAUGAUGACUAUAUGCUAUGGAUGAAUGAGUGAAUGCAUGCUCAAAUGAAUCAAGUAUGCGCAUUUUUUUUAGUACUGAUAUUGAAAUCACAAAAACAGGAUUGGUCCUUUUUUAUUCUUAUGCAAUGGUAAUCAAGAUACUGAAUUUUCUACAUGCCACUAUACUAGCACAAUCAGAUCCUUAUAUCCUUAUGCUGAGUAGUAAUUCAGAGAAUUAAUUUGAAUUCCUGCAUACCAAAUGCAUCAUAGUAAUAUGACUAAAAUGAUCACAUGACCUAAAAACUAUGCAUCUUGAUUUUGUUGUCAAAUAUACUGACUACUAAAAUAACUGGUAAUUAAUUGUGUUCUAUGUUAUUGGUCUUAGCAAAGUUAUGCUGAUCAACUACUAAGGUUCAGAUCCUAAUGUUAUGCUCUUCUAGGACUUAUGAUUAGGACUCAUAGAUUUCUGUUUAUGGAUCUACAUUUAUACUAAAGAUGUACUUGUACACUUGCUAUUCAUCCAAUCCUACAGAUUCGGUAUUACUAUAUGAAGAACUAAAUACAUUGGUGAGUUUUGAGACUGCUAGUCUGCUAGUAUUUCUCACUGUGGCAUACGAUUUAUAUUGAUUAAUACUUACAGAACUAAUGUAUGUCAUGCUUUAAUCUAGAAUCAUAUGCUCUAGAUGCUCUGCUAUAGAGACUUAUAACCCUACUCAUUAAUUCUAACUAUUUAUAAUUUCAGGAUUCACCAAAGAGAUGCAUGUGCAGCUGUUUACCUAAAUGCAUUUACGUAAUAAUUCUAGACAAACUAAAAUGUUUCUUGUUACUAACCCCAAAUAAUUAUAAACUAGAAUUAACCUAUAUUUACUUUUCAGUUAAAUAAAAAUAUUUAUGUCCUACUAGUUGCACUUCCUACUCUGCAGCUCAAAUUACUUAAUAUUCUUGUUCAUCUUCUAAUGGAUGCAAAUGCAACUCACAACUCCUACACAUACUAGUAUAUGCAUCACUCAAGAAUCAUGUCAUGAUAUGAUUGUACUUUCAGUUUAAUCUCUUGAUUACCUGCCAUGAUUUUAGGUGACAAUUAUAUGGUUCCCUUCUCUGGUUCUGCAGCUACUCUUCUGGACUCUGAUUCAAUGGUUCUCCCGAUGGAACUGUGAUUUCUCCUCUUUGAGCUGAAGCACCACCUGCUCCUCCAGAAACUGAAACCCCUCUCUUCUUGAAGCUCAGGACUGAACACCUCUACUUCAUCCAAGAACUAAAUACCUUUGCUUCUCCUUCUUCAGAUUUGGUUUCUCUCUCUCUCUUUCUUGUUGUUUCCCUGUGGAUAAUAGGAAUGAGAUACGGUGUAAUUGUGUUGCUGGCUACUAAGCUACUGCUCUGCUAUUUUUCUCUGUUUUGAGCUGGUUUUACAACCGAACUGCUGGCUGCUACUACUGCUGCGGCUGAGGAUGCUGCUUGGGGUUGUUUUCCAGCCGAUGCAACCGAGACUGAUUCACAGAUAGCUGGUUAAUAUAUGUGUGAAUUUUUUUUGUGAAGGCUGGGUGACUCACCUACUUUAGUUUUGGUGGUUGUUUCACUGACUGACACCUAAGCAGUGUUUGAUCGGUGGUGUAAUGUGGGAUUUCACUAAAUUUUUCUAUUUAGAUAAAUUCUGAUACAAUUAGGUACUUUUGCACUUGAGUCCCUCGGGGUCUCUAAAAUUGAAGGUUACUCUGAGAUUAGGGACUAAUUUAUAAUUGUUCUAGAACUCAUAGUCAUUUUUGCAAGGUUACCAAUUCUCCAUAUAUUUUUGGUAGAUAAAUUUAUGCUUCUAUAUGAUGUAGCCGUGCAUCUAUUUGCUUGCUGGGAUUAAAAUGAUUUGCUCUAGUUUUA